RNAcentral lists this ribosomal RNA (253 nucleotides) under uncultured bacterium. Its description in RNAcentral is "partial 16S ribosomal RNA". It matches the Rfam family "Bacterial small subunit ribosomal RNA", at positions 524 to 776 of the family's 1533-position model. The record is from RNAcentral.
UACGAAGGGUGCAAACGUUGCUCGGAAUCAUUGGGCGUAAAGCGCACGUAGGCGGCCUCAUAAGUCGGAUGUGAAAUCCCUCGGCUCAACCGAGGACGUGCAUACGAAACUGCGAGGCUCGAGUAUGGAAGAGGGUCGCGGAAUUCCCGGUGUAGAGGUGAAAUUCGUAGAUAUCGGGAGGAACACCAGUGGCGAAGGCGGCGACCUGGGCCAAUACUGACGCUGAGGUGCGAAAGCGUGGGGAGCAAACAGG